ACGAACGCUGGCGGCGUGCCUCAUACAUGCAAGUUGAGCGAUGAAGAUUGGUGCUUGCACCAAUUUGAAGAGCAGCGAACGGGUGAGUAACGCGUGGGGAAUCUGCCUUUGAGCGGGGGACAACAUUUGGAAACGAAUGCUAAUACCGCAUAACAACUUUAAACAUAAGUUUUAAGUUUGAAAGAUGCAAUUGCAUCACUCAAAGAUGAUCCCGCGUUGUAUUAGCUAGUUGGUGAGGUAAAGGCUCACCAAGGCGAUGAUACAUAGCCGACCUGAGAGGGUGAUCGGCCACAUUGGGACUGAGACACGGCCCAAACUCCUACGGGAGGCAGCAGUAGGGAAUCUUCGGCAAUGGACGAAAGUCUGACCGAGCAACGCCGCGUGAGUGAAGAAGGUUUUCGGAUCGUAAAACUCUGUUGGUAGAGAAGAACGUUGGUGAGAGUGGAAAGCUCAUCAAGUGACGGUAACUACCCAGAAAGGGACGGCUAACUACGUG
This 496-nucleotide ribosomal RNA is filed under the name uncultured bacterium. Its description in RNAcentral is "partial 16S ribosomal RNA". It matches the Rfam family "Bacterial small subunit ribosomal RNA", at positions 29 to 507 of the family's 1533-position model. The record is from RNAcentral.